Molecule: ribosomal RNA, 971 nt
Filed under: Bostrychia flagellifera
Lineage: Eukaryota; Rhodophyta; Florideophyceae; Ceramiales; Rhodomelaceae
Description: eukaryotic LSU rRNA
Rfam family: Eukaryotic large subunit ribosomal RNA
Source: RNAcentral
CCUGCCGAAUGAAUUAGCCCUGAAAAUGGAUGGCGCUUAAGCGAGUAGCCGACACUGUGCCGUCUGGACAAAAAAAAACAAUAAAUGAGAUACAUAUUUUUCAGAUGAGUAGGAGGAACGUGGCGGUCGUAUAAAAGCGUGUGCGCAAGCAUGCGUGGAACGGCCGCUAGUGCAAAUCUUGGUGGUAGUAGCAAAUAUUCAAAUGAAAACCUUGAAGGGUGAAGCGGGGAAGGGUUCCACGCGAACAUUGAUUGGGCGUGGGUGAGUCGUUCCUAAACCGUCUGGUAAUUUGCUAGGCACUCGGCGAAAGGGAAGCAGGUUUAUAUUCCUGCACACAGAUGUGGAUAUGCGGUGACGCACACUGAGGCGGUGAAGUCGUUGGUUGCACUGGGCAGAGAUUUCUUUUCUGUUUGACGGAGCCUGGCUGUACUCUAUGGAAUCCGCUUGUCGGGAGAAAUAGGUAUGUCACGGCAAAGCGCCGGGUUUUUAUCUGGCGUCCAGUUUGCGACUGGCGGACCAUGAAAAGCUGUCUGCUGGCAAAAUAUACCUGUUUAAAUGGGACAAUUUUAUUUUUUGUUUUGUUUGAACUUUUGUAUUUUGUGUGAAAAAUUCCACGCUGUAACGUACCCAUAACCGCAUCAGGUCCCCAAGGUGAACAGCCUCUGCUCGAUAUGAACAAUGCAGGUGAGGGAAGUCGGCAAAUUAGACCCGUAACUUUGGGAAAAGGGUUGGCUCUAGUGCUGCGUAGGAGUGGUUACUGGUUGUAGCUGCGAAUUUGGUCUAUUCUUGCCAAAGGCUGUGAUUGAUGAGAUUUUAUUUUGUCGUUAUCGCGCCAUUGUGUAGGAGUACUGGGUUUGUGGUUCCUGGUGACGCCUACAGCAUGCAGCAAACUAGAACUGCAACGGACAAAGGGAAUCCGACUGUUUAAUUAAAACAAAGCAUUGCGAAGGCCGUGGCCGGUGUUGACGCAA